Molecule: long non-coding RNA, 471 nt
Filed under: Phaseolus vulgaris (common bean)
Lineage: Eukaryota; Viridiplantae; Streptophyta; Magnoliopsida; Fabales; Fabaceae
Description: long non-coding RNA (PVUL_LNC002741)
Source: RNAcentral
CCCGAGAAAAUCAGGGACAAGCUUUGCUACAAAGGUGGAGGCUCUAUCAAGAGCAUUGAGAUACUGGACCCGCCCAAGCCCAAGCCCGCUGAGCCUGAGAAGAAGAAGGAGGCCGACAAGCCCAAGCCCGAACCCGAGAAAAAGAAAGACGCGGAGAAACCUAAAUCUGAUGCUCCCAAACAGGAAGCCGGUAAGAAAGACGGCGGGGAGAAGCCUAAGGCUGAGCCUGAGAAAAAGAAAGACGGGGAAAAGCCCAAAGCAGAGGCUCCGAAAAAGGAAGCUGAGAAGCCCAAGGAAAAGCCCGCGCCCCAGGCGGAGAUGCCCAAAGCCAAGCCCGCACCUGCUCCGUUACCCGUUCAGCCACAUAUAGCACCACCGAUGGCGGUUCCAGUUGGGAUGCUGUAUGCUCCUGCUCCCUGCUAUGAAGGCAGGCCCAUUGGGCCUUUCUUCGAAUACGGUGGGCCCAUGAAC